This 63-nucleotide transfer RNA is filed under the name Diximermis spiculatus. RNAcentral's name for it is "tRNA-Asn". The record is from RNAcentral. Lineage: Eukaryota; Metazoa; Nematoda; Enoplea; Mermithida; Mermithidae.
ACUUUAAAUCAAAUUUAAGCAUUAUGAUAAAACUGUUAAUUUUAUUGAAAAAAGCUUAAGAAA